This 253-nucleotide ribosomal RNA is filed under the name uncultured bacterium. RNAcentral describes it as "partial 16S ribosomal RNA". It matches the Rfam family "Bacterial small subunit ribosomal RNA", at positions 524 to 776 of the family's 1533-position model. The record is from RNAcentral.
UACGAAGGGUGCAAGCGUUACUCGGAAUUACUGGGCGUAAAGCGUGCGUAGGUGGUUCGUUAAGUCUGAUGUGAAAGCCCUGGGCUCAACCUGGGAAUGGCAUUGGAAACUGGCGACCUAGAGUGCGGUAGAGGGCAGUGGAAUUCCCGGUGUAGCGGUGAAAUGCGCAGAUAUCGGGAAGAACACCCGUGGCGAAGGCGGCUCUCUGGGACGGUACCGACGCUGAGACGCGAAAGCGUGGGGAGCGAACAGG